ACGGAAGGCAGCAGUGAGGAAUAUUGCGCAAUGGAGGGAACUCUGACGCAGCGACGCCGCGUGAGGGAAGAAGGUUUUCGGAUUGUAAACCUCUGUCCUCAGGGAAGAAAGAGAUGACGGUACCUGGGGAGGAAGCCCCGGCUAACUACGUGCCAGCAGCCGCGGUAAUACGUAGGGGGCGAGCGUUGUCCGGAAUUAUUGGGUGUAAAGGGCGCGUAGGCGGCUUUGCAAGUCAAACGUGAAAACUGAAGGCUUAACCUUCAGCCUGCGUUUGAAACUGUAGGGCUUGAGUGAAGUAGAGGCAAGUGGAAUUUCCAGUGUAGCGGUGAAAUGCGUAGAUAUUGGAAGGAACACCGGUGGCGAAGGCGGCUUGCUGGGCUUUGACUGACGCUGAGGCGCGAAAGCGUGGGUAGCAAACAGGAUUAGAUACCCUGGUA
This 437-nucleotide ribosomal RNA is filed under the name uncultured Saccharofermentans sp. Its description in RNAcentral is "partial 16S ribosomal RNA". It matches the Rfam family "Bacterial small subunit ribosomal RNA", at positions 341 to 792 of the family's 1533-position model. The record is from RNAcentral. Lineage: Bacteria; Bacillati; Bacillota; Clostridia; Eubacteriales; Oscillospiraceae.